This 612-nucleotide ribosomal RNA is filed under the name uncultured bacterium. Its description in RNAcentral is "bacterial SSU rRNA". It matches the Rfam family "Bacterial small subunit ribosomal RNA", at positions 84 to 693 of the family's 1533-position model. The record is from RNAcentral.
CCGGCUGACGAGUGGCGCACGGGUGCGUAACGCGUAUACUAUCUACCUUGUACAGGGGUAUAGCCUUUAGAAAUGAAGAAUAAUCCCCCAUAAUAUCUUAUUAGUGGCAUCGUUAAAAGAUUAAAGCUUCGGUGGUAAGAGAUGAGUAUGCGUUCUAUUAGCUAGUAGGUGAGGUAACGGCUCACCUAGGCGACGAUAGAUAGGGGCCCUGAGAGGGGGAUCCCCCACACUGGUACUGAGACACGGACCAGACUCCUACGGGAGGCAGCAGUGAGGAAUAUUGGACAAUGGGCGCAAGCCUGAUCCAGCCAUGCCGCGUGCAGGAAGACUGCCCUAUGGGUUGUAAACUGCUUUUAUAUAGGAAGAAACCAUUCUACGUGUAGAGUGCUGACGGUACUAUAAGAAUAAGCAUCGGCUAACUCCGUGCCAGCAGCCGCGGUAAUACGGAGGAUGCAAGCGUUAUCCGGAAUCAUUGGGUUUAAAGGGUCCGUAAGUGGAUAGAUAAUUCAGAGGUGAAAUCCUGCAGCUCAACUGUAGAAUUGCCUUUGAAACUGUUUAUCUUGAAUUAUGGUGAAGUGGUUAGAAUAUGUAGUGUAGCGGUGAAAUGCAUAG